Molecule: ribosomal RNA, 484 nt
Filed under: uncultured bacterium
Lineage: Bacteria
Description: partial 16S ribosomal RNA
Rfam family: Bacterial small subunit ribosomal RNA
Source: RNAcentral
AUUGAACGCUGGCGGCAGGCCUAACACAUGCAAGUCGAGCGGAUGAAGGGAGCUUGCUCCUGGAUUCAGCGGCGGACGGGUGAGUAAUGCCUAGGAAUCUGCCUGGUAGUGGGGGAUAACGUCCGGAAACGGGCGCUAAUACCGCAUACGUCCUGAGGGAGAAAGUGGGGGAUCUUCGGACCUCACGCUAUCAGAUGAGCCUAGGUCGGUUUAGCUAGUUGGGGGGGUAAAGGCCUACCAAGGCGACGAUCCGUAACUGGUCUGAGAGGAUGAUCAGUCACACUGGAACUGAGACACGGUCCAGACUCCUACGGGAGGCAGCAGUGGGGAAUAUUGGACAAUGGGCGAAAGCCUGAUCCAGCCAUGCCGCGUGUGUGAAGAAGGUCUUCGGAUUGUAAAGCACUUUAAGUUGGGAGGAAGGGCAGUAAGUUAAUACCUUGCUGUUUUGACGUUACCAACAGAAUAAGCACCGGCUAACUUCGUG